GUGCUCGCUUCUGCAGCACAUAUACUAAAAUUGGAACGAUACAGAGAAGAUUAGCAUGGCCCCCGUGCAAGGAUGACAUGCAAAUUUGUGAAGCGUUCCAUGUAUUU
This 107-nucleotide small nuclear RNA is filed under the name Cervus elaphus hippelaphus. The record is from RNAcentral. Lineage: Eukaryota; Metazoa; Chordata; Mammalia; Artiodactyla; Cervidae.